Lolium perenne is the source of this 589-nucleotide long non-coding RNA. RefSeq lists it as uncharacterized. Lineage: Eukaryota; Viridiplantae; Streptophyta; Magnoliopsida; Poales; Poaceae. The record is from RefSeq and is a predicted model, not a curated record.
UCUCAUAACCAGGUGGGCAUUUCCAUGUCGUGUUGGAGAUUGAUCUGCUUGCCAACAAGGGCUACCAUGGCGAUCUAUACACUGCCUUUUAGGAGCUCGUCGAUAUCGACAUUGCAAGGUGUUGAGCAAAGAAUUGGAGGCCCCACAUACUUCUGAGUACAAGCGAACUGGGAGUAACGUUCAAAUGCAAAGUUACGUUCUUGUAAAUUAUCCCCCUUCGUUGACAUUCCUAGCAUUUGUUGUUUUCUGUUUUGAGGUAUUAGUAGGAUACAUCAAAUCUCCAGUUUUAGAGGCAUACUCACCAACCCUGCCCCAAGUACUGUUACUGGCUUCAAUGGUGCAGGUGUUGGACGGACGGGCCAACUAGUACAUGGAGCAGCAGGCUGGCGUGGUGACCUCUCAUUGGAGUUGGAGCUGUGCAGGAGGGAAUGAGGGAGCCAGGGCCGCUGGACCCACGGAGGGAACAUAACAUGAUUUUAUUUGUUAAUUUCUUCAAGUGAUGUUGUAGCUGGUUAGGUGUUGCAUCUUCAACUGGUAUCUUCACUAUUUUAUCUCAGCUGAUUUAGAAUUUGAAGUGGAUCUAGUUGAA